Non-coding RNA from Triticum aestivum (bread wheat), 125 nucleotides. Lineage: Eukaryota; Viridiplantae; Streptophyta; Magnoliopsida; Poales; Poaceae. The record is from Rfam.
AUAAUACUCCCUCUGUCAGAAAAUACUUGUCGGGGGAAUGGAUGUACCUAGACAUGUUUUAGUUCUGGAUACAUCCAUUUUUAUCCAUUUCUCCAACAAGUAUUUCCAGACAGAGGGAGUAUUUA